GAGCAAAAUUUCAGGUGUG
Molecule: microRNA, 19 nt
Filed under: Drosophila persimilis
Lineage: Eukaryota; Metazoa; Arthropoda; Insecta; Diptera; Drosophilidae
Also listed under: 2 other names
Description: miR-87-RA
Source: RNAcentral